AAUUUUAGCAUUGUCUUACAUCCUAUAGAAGAAAUACCUUAGUCUGUCACAGUCAGCAUAUUGACUUUAAGUAUUCAAUAUCCCUUCAGUCAGCAAUAAUCAUGUUAUAAACCUUAUAAAAGCAUAAAAUACAUAUAAACAAGUUAACUAUUUAAUAUUUCUUACAUCCCCCUCUUUGAGCAAUUAAUUUGCUCAUCUUAUCAAUAAAAUUUUACCAGGACAGAGAAACUUCCACAUGGUAUUUUCAGGGGUGCUAGUCACUCCCUGCGGGACUUUCAUUAAUUUCUUCACCUCGAUUCCCAUGUGGUAAUUCCUAAGGCCCAGUUUUAAAGAUGGGUUGAUAGCCUCCAGUGGCAGAGAGGAGAGUUUCCAAUUGUUUCUGUUCUGCAUUAUAGAUUAAUUUCUGUAUUCUCUUUCUCAAUGUACAAGUAAGAUGGCAGUUAUACAAAAUCAUACACAAUAAAAUCAGGACUAUAAUAACAAGAGGAUAGAAGAAUGAUUUCAUUAUCUGGGAUCCAGUAGGAGACCAACCAGUAAAAGCAUCGUACCAAUGAUGGACUAAAUCAUUCUGAAUCUGUGAACUCACCUUAAGGAGUUCUCCUUUUAGGAUAUGUGUGGCUACCUGUGUGUGUACUAUAGCAUCAUUAUGUGUAACAAGAUGUUUAAACAUAUUUUGUUUUCCUUUCAUUAAGGAGACAAUAGUCUCAAGAGGUAAAUGGUAAUCUUCAAAAGGCAGCGAGCCCAAUAGGGCAUUAACAUGUUUGUCUAAAGUAAUUGUGUCGCUGAAAUAAUAUUGGGUGUCAUUAAGAUCUAACCAGGUAAUAUUAGUCAAACAUCCUGAAAAAGGGAGAGGUAGAUUAAUACUUGUAGUGCUAGUAAUUAUCUUUGUAGGGAGAUUAGUUGCUAAACAGAUAUGUCGUGUGCUUAUUUCUGUCAUGGUAAAAUAAUUUUCAGGAUAUAUGUGCCAUAUACAUUUGUUAAGUUCAUUUUGGAGUAAACAUGGUUCGUAAAUAGAGGACGAGUGUCGACAUGCAUAUCCUUUGUCAGUGAGAACACAGUGUUUAAGGGAAUAGGUCAUAUUAUCUUUGGGAAAAAUAUAGUCCCCUGUGUAUGUGGGUGCCCACCAGGUUAAAUUCUUGGCAAAGAGAUCAUAAACUGGUACUGGUAAUGUGUUAAAUUGACAAGCUAAUUUAACAUCCUUUGAUGUUGUAUGAUAUAAUGUAAAAUAGCAUGAGCAUGAAAAAUGUGAUACAGUACCAGUUAACCAUUCAUUGCAUUUAGUGGAUUGGGGUUUCAGAAGUAACCAUUCAUUAUCUGUGAGGUUAAGCAUUCCUCUAAUCUUCUCUAAUUUAGGAAUCAUUAGUAUGUCUUCUAAUGCCGAUCUUUGGUGUUGCAUCCAUAAAUACCUGAUGGCACAAGUACUCCAAUUACUUAGACCUGUUGUGAAUUUCAUAGUUGCAACAGUUAAAUUAUCUAAAUAAUUAUACAUUGAUUUAUCUAAAUCCAAUCCUGUAACCUGUGAUUUAACAACAGUUGGAGCCCAGUUUGCAGUAGCAUGGAAACCAGUCCCUAUAUGCAUGCUGGCUGUGUUUAACUUAUUCUUGAGGGUCUCCAUAUCUAUAACUAUUUAGUAUACCCAUAGUGGUUCCAGCACCAUCUAACAGUGUGUCAUACCAUUCCCUUUUCUGCCUUUUGUUUGCUGUGUUACAUAAUGUUACAACAGGAGUAGUGAUUUUUAAUGACACAUGUACAGCUUGUAAGAAGACAGUUGUAUUAACACAUGUGGAUGGAAUAGGUGUGUGUGUGUCGUUGUUGACUUUUGGUUCUAUGUUAGAGGAUAAAGGACAGUAAUAAGGUGUAAAAAUAUAAGGUAGUGUAUAGUUCUCAAUUGCAGUGUCAUUCAUAAUGACUAACAUUUGUCCCUUUUUCCAAUUAAUGGUACCAGUUGUAUAAUCAUUAUUAAAAGUAAUAAGGCCUGUUUGUUUACAUUGAUAUGCAACCUUACUAAUUUUCUUAUAAUAUAUAUCCCAAACCUGUUUAGGUGGUUUUCUCUUACCAUCAGAACUUAUAUUAAAUAAGGUGGCACAGAUACCAGUGUAAUUAGCAACCUUAACUGUGCACAUUUCUGUGUUAUAAGAUCUAACAAUUUUCCGUGAACCUUCAAACAAACAUAAUGCAUCGGUUUCAUUAGCUGUGGACACAUUCCAUAUGAGUAACUGAUACUUAUAAGGGUUAUUAUUUGUCCAAUUCAUCCAAAUGCGUUCAGUGAAUGAAUGAUUGCAUAUUACAUGCUGAUAAAAAGGUGGUGGAGAAAAGUUCUUGAGGGAGCGUGUGUGACGAAUGCUAGAUGAGGGGUUAAGGCCUAAUUGGGCUGGGGGUAUUGAAGAAUUGUUCAUCAUGUCAGAGUCUUCUUUCCAGAAACAAACAGGUUUCAAACUUGCCAUUGCCUCGUAUUCAUAAUGGCAUUCAAGGAACAAUAUCAAAGGGAGUAUAACUACUCCAGAAAACAUAGCACACAACAUAAUCUUGGUCUCAGAUUCGUAUGAUCCUCUCAAUCUACGAUAUGGUGUGAAAACCAUGAUGCUUCGCUAAGGGGGACUUCUUCUGUUUCCGAGCGAGGAGUGGUGUUGUCUUCCUUGGCUCCCCUCUUUGGACACAGCUUCACUCGGGAUGCGUGAAUCCAGAUGUCGUGGGAAUCUGUGAGGACAGCGGUUCUGGUUACAGCAAUCACAGUAGCAGGUGGUCCAAAAGGGUAUCCUCCUUUCUUGGUCCUGUUCAGCUGACGGAUAUACACCUUGUCACCGGGCUGGUAUGGAUGAGUAGGUUCCUGUGAAGGUAAGGGAAACUGCGAAGAAACAUUGCCAUAUAUACCAUUCAGUUUCAUCAACAAUUCCUGUACAUAUUGUUCUUGUAUUAGCUGUAAAUCCCCAGACAUUAUAACAAGCGGUUCCCUGGCCCAGGGUGUGGGAAAAGGUCGUCCCAUCAGAAUCUCAAAUGGAGAUAAUUUAGUCACCUUGUGGGGAGUCAUUCUUAUCUCAGCUAAAAUAGCUGGUAGAUAUUUUGUCCAAUUUACCCAUGUUACUGCAGUAGCUUUCAUAAGCUUCUCCUUAAUGGUCCUAUUCAUCCUUUCAACUACCCCUGAACUCUGUGGAUGAUAGGGUAUAUGAAACUUCCAGGUAACUUGCAAGAAUUUAGCAAGUUCCUGGGUAACCUUACUGGCAAAAGCCGGGCCAUUAUCAGAGUUAAUCUGCAGAGGGCAGCCAUACCUGGGAAUAAUUUCAGUAGCAAGAAUCUUCACUACAGUCCUAGCAUCUUCC
This 3317-nucleotide long non-coding RNA is filed under the name Pelobates cultripes (western spadefoot toad). Lineage: Eukaryota; Metazoa; Chordata; Amphibia; Anura; Pelobatidae. The record is from RNAcentral.